UGAGGAAUUUUGGUCAAUGGGGGAAACCCUGAACCAGCGACGCCGCGUGCAGGAUGAAGGAGCUUUGCUCUGUAAACUGCUGUCGGAUGGGAAAAAAAGCGGGUCUUAUCCGCUGGGAUUGUACCAUCAAAGGAAGGAUCGGCUAACUACGUGCCAGCAGCCGCGGUAAUACGUAGGAUCCAAGCGUUGUCCGGAUUUACUGGGUGUAAAGGGUGCGUAGGCGGAUUCGUGCGUCAGAGGUUAAAUCUCCCGGCUUAACCGGGAACCUGCCUUUGAUACGGCGAGUCUUGAGUGCGAGAGAGGACGGUAGAAUUCCUGGUGUAGCAGUGAAAUGCGUAGAUAUCAGGAGGAAUACCAGUGGCGAAGGCGGCCGUCUGGCUCGCAACUGACGCUCAGGCACGAAAGCGUGGGGAGCAAACAGG
This 422-nucleotide ribosomal RNA is filed under the name uncultured bacterium. Its description in RNAcentral is "bacterial SSU rRNA". It matches the Rfam family "Bacterial small subunit ribosomal RNA", at positions 355 to 776 of the family's 1533-position model. The record is from RNAcentral.